Molecule: ribosomal RNA, 253 nt
Filed under: uncultured bacterium
Lineage: Bacteria
Description: partial 16S ribosomal RNA
Rfam family: Bacterial small subunit ribosomal RNA
Source: RNAcentral
UACGUAGGGUGCGAGCGUUGUCCGGAAUUAUUGGGCGUAAAGAGCUCGUAGGCGGUUUGUCGCGUCGGCCGUGAAAUCUCCACGCUUAACGUGGAGCGUGCGGUCGAUACGGGCAGACUUGAGUUCGGUAGGGGAGACUGGAAUUCCUGGUGUAGCGGUGAAAUGCGCAGAUAUCAGGAGGAACACCGGUGGCGAAGGCGGGACUCUGGGCCGAUACUGACGCUGAGGAGCGAAAGCGUGGGGAGCAAGCAGG